CGCGUAGGCGGGCCAGCCAGUCUGUGGUGAAAUCCUCCAGCUUAACUGGAGAAGUGCCGUGGAUACUGCUGGCCUCGAGGAGGGUAGGGGCAUCUGGAACGGUCGGUGGAGCGGUGAAAUGCGUUGAUAUCGACCGGAACUCCGGUGGCGAAGGCGAGGUGCUGGACCCUUUCUGACGCUGAGGCGCGAAAGCCAGGGAGCAAACG
This 206-nucleotide ribosomal RNA is filed under the name uncultured bacterium. RNAcentral's name for it is "partial 16S ribosomal RNA". It matches the Rfam family "Bacterial small subunit ribosomal RNA", at positions 568 to 774 of the family's 1533-position model. The record is from RNAcentral.